CGUAGCCUACGGGGCGCAGCAGUGAGGAAUAUUGGUCAAUGGGCGCAAGCCUGAACCAGCCAAGUCGCGUGAGGGAUGACGGUCCUAUGGAUUGUAAACCUCUUUUGUCGGGGAGCAAGGCCCGCCACGUGUGGCGGGAAGGAGAGGACCCGAAGAAAAAGCAUCGGCUAACUCCGUGCCAGCAGCCGCGGGAAUACGGAGGAUGCGAGCGUUAUCCGGAGUUAUUGGGGUUAAAGGGUGCGUAGGCGGAAGGGUAAGGCAGCGGUCAAAUGUCGGUGCUCAACACCGGCCUGCCGUUGAAACUG
RNAcentral lists this ribosomal RNA (305 nucleotides) under uncultured bacterium. Its description in RNAcentral is "bacterial SSU rRNA". It matches the Rfam family "Bacterial small subunit ribosomal RNA", at positions 332 to 635 of the family's 1533-position model. The record is from RNAcentral.